RNAcentral lists this long non-coding RNA (962 nucleotides) under Vulpes vulpes (red fox). RNAcentral's name for it is "lncRNA (ENSVVUG00000001260.1)". Lineage: Eukaryota; Metazoa; Chordata; Mammalia; Carnivora; Canidae. The record is from RNAcentral.
GUCACCUAGAAUCUGGCUGUUAACUGUCACCAUUGCUGAGAGUCUCAACAUAGGGCAAAGUGCUCAGGGAAGCUGAAGGCUGAACUUUCAGCCUUUCCACUGACCCCGAAAGCACUUUGGGCUUCUCUGAGGACAAGCCUGCAUCUCAAGGAACUGCAUUAUAUUAUUCUGCGGAGGGAAGUUGGAGACAUCAGAGAUGGGUAGAUAUUCCCUUGCUUAUGCAGGAAGGUUUUUACUUCUAGAACUUUGUCUUUUGUAGAUUUGAUGAAACCCUAAAAAUGCUGCUUGUUAAGUAAGAAACUGCUGCUUUGACUCUUGUAGGGAAAGCACCAGGCAGGCAAAGCCCUCCAGGGAGUAAUGCCACCAAAGGAGAGGAAAAGCUACGUUUCCAAAGGCAAAAAGUAGGCCUGUGACUGGGACAACAGCCUGAAUGCUGAUGCUUUUAAUUUCAGAGGUGCUUCGCUGGACUUCUCACCAUUCAGAUAGGUUUGCUCCCUCCCCAGCCCUGCUUUCCCUCCAGUGCAACACUUGCUUCCAUGAGGAGGCUCCAUCCAGCAGUUUAAAGUGAACCUUUGUAGUCUUCUCUACACCUGGAAAAAGUGUGUCUCCUUCCAAUGUUUGGUGUGGCUAAGGCCAUGAGGGGAGGAUAUUGCAAGCCUACAUCCAGCUAGGACAAUUUGUCAGUCUUCAUUAUUGCAAGCUGUGUGGCAACACCACCAGAGUUAAGGGUCAGUGUGGCUUCCAAUUAAAACUCCCUAUCGAAGAUGGAUUUAUGUUUGGUCUACUUCAAAACACAUUGGGCUGCAACUUAUCAUUUAAGUUGUCAGGCUGGAAGCACUUUCCUUUUUGAGUGCAAAGGGUUUAAAGGUCAUUAAUUCAUUUUGCUUAAGGUGUAAAGACAUAAACAAAUGAAUAUUUAUUUAUUUAUUUAUUUAUUUAUUUAUUUAUUUAUUUGUUUGUUG